CAGAGCUCUGAGGGACGGGAGGGGGCAGGAGCUUUGCUGCCCCCAGGACUCUGAGGGACGGGCGGGACCAGGGGCUUCCCCGCCCCCAGAGCUCUGAGGGACGGGUGGGGUAGGGGGCUUUUCCUGCUCCCAGAGCUCUGAGGGACGGGUGGGAUCAGGAGCUUCCCCGCCCCCCGGGCUCUGAGGGACGGGUGGGAUCGGGAACUUCCCCGCCCCCUGGGCUCUGAGGGACGGGGAUGUCGGGGGCUUUUCCCGCCCCCAGGGUUCUGAGGGACGGGCGGCUGAGGAGAGCACGGCCUGGGCUUUAGUUUGGCCGUGAAGAAAUCUACGCCUUGUUUUACGGUAAAUGCCCCUGAGCUCGUAGCUAUCAACGUCCUCGAAUAAUUUUGCAAAAUAAAGUGUUGUUUUCCUUCUUCAGGGAAAGAGUAUCAGGCUCAUGUUGUGCAGGUUGGAAAAUACCUCCAAAAAAAAGAUCAACUCCAGCAAGGUUUAAGCUCUCAAGUUCUAAGAUUUCGUCAAUUAAAAAACAACCAAAUCCAGUAGAAGUUGGGCGGAUGGCACAGUGCCCUCAACACAGCACCACAGAAGGAGACCCUCACAACUAAUGCGUAAUAAGCUUUCUACAACAAACCCAGAGGUGUUUAUUUGGUUUCCUUAAAUGAUGAACAUUUCUGUACACAUGGCUGUACACAUGUGAAAUGAUGAACAUUUCUGUACACUUCCCUUUGAGUGGCAGUGUCCACGUGGAAGAGUUGUCAUUCUUGUCAUGUAAAAACAAGCUCCACGUAGCUCUCCUUUGCAGAAAGCUGCAACAGCGUCUGGAUGCUGCCUCCUCUCCUGACAAAUGCUUUGGAUAGUGAUGUGGAGGCACGCUGCCUCAAGGCUUGUGUACUCCAGGGAAGCAUGAAGUCCUUAACUAUUGUCCCAUUGCUGUAUAUCACCAACCUUUAGGAAAAUCAUUCUCUGUGCUGGAAACCUCAGACUGGCACGUGGAGCAGAGAGCCAGGGUGAGCCCUUAGCUCUGUGGCCCAGCUCCCUGUGACCAGCACAUUAUCCUAAGGAAUGGGCUGGAAUUAGCCUGCACUCCCUUUGGACAGCCAACCUGCCAAGUCACUGUGCCCAGUGCAACAGAGCUGCUGGUAAAAAUAGCAUGAAAUACAUUCAGUAGCACAGCCGUUGGGACCCAGGAGACAUGGAGAGCCCUGUAUUCCUGGAGAAUUGACCUUAAUGCCGAGAAGAUGCAGUUUCCUCCUAAAUAUUACUCUUCCAAACGCCAUUGCUCCAAAUGCUACCUUGGAUCCACAGCUGGAAGGUGGAAAGUGUUUAUUGCCUUUAGGGUCAUUGCUUUCCUUUGGGUGAGGUAAGCCAGCUUCCAUCCUUACAAGGGUCUGAAAUCGUCAUGGCUAGCAGGUAGCAAAUGUGGUUUUGUUCCUGAAACUCAAUGUCCAAAGUCAGAAAGCAGCUACACUGAGAAAAUGAAUCUUGUGUCAAAGCUCAUCCUGUGAAAGGUGAUUUACCAGUUCCUUUUUGAUGAACUUGGAAAGUCCCAUGAUCCGCUUGCACUCACUGGGCCCUG
Long non-coding RNA from Parus major (Great Tit), 1576 nucleotides. RefSeq lists it as uncharacterized. The record is from RefSeq and is a predicted model, not a curated record. The transcript has 6 exons. Lineage: Eukaryota; Metazoa; Chordata; Aves; Passeriformes; Paridae.